Molecule: ribosomal RNA, 425 nt
Filed under: uncultured bacterium
Lineage: Bacteria
Description: partial 16S ribosomal RNA
Rfam family: Bacterial small subunit ribosomal RNA
Source: RNAcentral
GUAGGGAAUAUUGCACAAUGGAGGAAACUCUGAUGCAGCGACGCCGCGUGAGUGAUGAAGGCCUUCGGGUCGUAAAACUCUGUGAUAAGGGAAGAUGAUGACGGUACCUUAUCAGAAAAGACCGGCUAACUUCGUGCCAGCAGCCGCGGUAAUACGAGGGGUCUAAGCGUUGUUCGGAAUCACUGGGCGUAAAGCGGGUGUAGGUGGCUAUGCAAGUUGGAUGUGAAAGCCCCGGGCUCAACCCGGGAAGUGCAUCCAAAACUACGUAGCGUGAGUGCUGGAGAGAAAGGCAGAAUUCCUGGUGUAGUGGUGGAAUACGUAGAUAUCAGGAGGAACUCCGGUGGCGAAGGCGGCCUUUUGGCCCAGCACUGACACUCAGACCCGAAAGCGUGGGUAGCAAACAGGAUUAGAAACCCGUGUAGUCC